GUGGCCAGGCUUUUUGUCACAUUAAAGGUACUCAGUAAAACAUUUGCUCAAUGAAUAAAUGUAUGGCACCUGCCACUGAAAAUUAAGAAUGUCUCCAAAAUCAGACAACAUGACAUGCGUAUCUCUUUUGGGUUGCCAGUGUUGUAAUUCUACUCACACCAGUGGUAGUUCUUCUGAGGCACUAACAAGUAGUAUUUUUCUGGUGGUUAUGAUCUCACUUUCCAGCUUCUCUCAUGUAUCAGAGAUAUUUUAUAGCAGUUGAAAAUUUGAACUCUCAAAUUAGAUAAGUUGUAACUUAGAGUCCUCCACUAGGUAGCUGUGUAAACUCGGGAGUCAUAUAACUUCUCUGGGCCUCAGUUUUCCUCCAUGAAAUGGGAAGAUUGACAGCAUCCACUUCACCGAGAGGUUGUGAGGAUUAAAUGAGCUCAUUUUCAUAGAAAUGCAUUAUGGUGCUGAGCACAUAGUAAUUGUUCAAUAAAUGUUUUCUGUUAUUUGACAUAAUUGAGAAACUCUGAAAAUACUUUUUCCUCCAAAAGGGAGUAUAUAAGGAAAGAUGAUGAUUCUAUGUAAACGUCUCAAAAAAGAGCCGAGAAGUACAAAUGAGAAAAUACAAUUGAGAAAACAGAAUUUUAAAAGAUUUCAUAACCUUUUAAAUUCCUCCUUGGUUGUUUUUAUUAUCCCAGGCCUAUUUCUUUCUAAUAAUUGGCAGAAAAAUCACAGACCAAAGGCCUCCUCUGGCAGGGGAGCCUGGAAGAGCAGCUGGGGAGAUUGGCGUCCUACCCCACUGCCAGUCUUCCCAGGGACUGAGAGAGGGAACAGGAAAUUGGCAACGUGUUGGACCUUCCGGAGCUUCUCAGAAGACAGAGGGUUUUCUUUUGAGGCUGUUGUACAGUGGCCUGAUUAUAGCUCACUGUAGCCUCGAAAUUCUGGGCUGAAAUGAUCCUCCUGCCUCAGCCUCCAAAGUAGCUGAGACUACAGACAAAUCAACUCAAUCAAAGAAACCAACUCAAUCAAAGAAAGAUGGGUCUACAUACAACAAAACUGAACAAAAUCUGCAAGAAGAGUGAUUCAUACAUGGGCUAUUGAGGCAACAUGAAAUGGACAUUAAUUGACUAAGUAAAAAACAGAUUUCUUGAAGAAUUAAUAAAGAACUUUUGUUUUGGAAGUU
This 1168-nucleotide long non-coding RNA is filed under the name Homo sapiens (human). RNAcentral describes it as "HSALNT0359089". The record is from RNAcentral. Lineage: Eukaryota; Metazoa; Chordata; Mammalia; Primates; Hominidae.